UUCGGUGGUCAUAGCGCGUGGGAAACGCCCGGUUACAUUCCGAACCCGGAAGCUAAGCUGCGUAGCGCCGAUGGUACUGCAAGGGGGACCUUGUGGGAGAGUAGGAUGCCGCCGAAC
Molecule: ribosomal RNA, 117 nt
Filed under: Streptomyces sp. CLI2509
Lineage: Bacteria; Bacillati; Actinomycetota; Actinomycetes; Kitasatosporales; Streptomycetaceae
Source: RNAcentral